CUGACGACGCUUUCUCCUUUUAUUUCUAGAGAGGAUUUGUUGAGGCCCAUGCCGAUGAUGGUUUCUUAGAAAUUUUUGGUCUGAAACAAGGGUGGCAUGCUUCAAUGGUUAUGAGUGAGAUUAUCUCUGCCAAACACAUAGCACAGGCUUUGGCAAUUAGGUUUGAGCUGAGAGGAGGGUCAUGGAAGAAGGCAUAUAUGCAGAUGGAUGGUGAACCGUGGAAACAACCGUUGGACAAUGAGUUUUCGACCUUCGUUGAAAUUAAACGGGUACCAUUUCGAUCAGUUAUGGUCAAUGGACAGUAAUUACAACAGCAUUUUGUAGCAUCUUUAUCAAUUUGUGGAAAUUGGAUCAUUGUUGAACAAUCCUUUUCUUUAAUAUUGUAUGUGUAAUACCUUGUUUAGGAGGAAUUUUUAGUCAACUCCCAACUGUGGAGCUAAAUUUAUGGAGUCUUGAAGAAAG
Molecule: long non-coding RNA, 462 nt
Organism: Olea europaea var. sylvestris
Lineage: Eukaryota; Viridiplantae; Streptophyta; Magnoliopsida; Lamiales; Oleaceae
Exons: 2
Source: RefSeq, a predicted model, not a curated record